Molecule: long non-coding RNA, 944 nt
Organism: Lutra lutra (Eurasian river otter)
Lineage: Eukaryota; Metazoa; Chordata; Mammalia; Carnivora; Mustelidae
Exons: 2
Source: RefSeq, a predicted model, not a curated record
CUAAGAACACAAGUUUCAAAAGGUUAUACAUAUUAAUGGACUUAAGUGUACAGAGGACUUCUGAGAAAUCAUCUAUAAAGCCACUCUCAGUCUAUUCGGCAAAGAUGCAGACCUUGAGGAAGGCUGACAUAUGGAAGCUGUUCGCAUGAGAUUAAAAGCUGCCAACAAUCUUCAAUCAUUACUCCCAGUAAGUCCUGACAAGUAAUGGGAUGAUCAGCUGGGUUGGGCUGCCUGGGCACAACCAGGUACACUCUCAGAGAGGGAGCUGCUGCCACAUGCAUUCUCCAGAGGCCCAAGAGGACUGUCAGCUGAAGCCUGAGCUCCUCCACUGGACUGAAGAUAGGCGGACAAUCCUGAAAGAUAGAAACCACAUCGUAGAAUGAAGUGAAUUCACAGAAGAUCUGGAAUGUACGAUGGGGCAAUGGAAUACCAGAUUCUGACAACUUCUUUUUGAAAUAGCUGACCAAAUUAGCCAGCAGAGGUUAGAUAUUGAAAAUACUCACUACUGGUUAGAGUACUCGUGGGAGCUUCACAGCACUGGUAUGCGUGAAAGCUGGUACAUUUUUGGAAAAGCAAUUGGGUAAUAUGCUGCAUCUCAAUAACUGCAAAGAUAAAGAUUUUGCAUGUUUUGAUAAAUGUUGAUUAUGUGCUGAUACAUACGGGGAAUUCAUUAUAUUAGUCUAUUUGGGGAUAUAAUUGGAAUUUUUCAUAAAAUCUCAGGAAAUGUUUAAAGGAUUUGGCUCAGGAAUUCUAAUUUUAAUGAUCUAUUUUAGGGAAAUAUAGAUAAAAGAUUAAUGACCAUUUUUUAUAAAGUAUUGAAAAAUUGGAAACAGUCUAGUUUCCAACAACAGGGGAAUGGGUGAAUAAAUUAUGCUAUAUCUAUCUACACAGUAAAAUGCAAAGGAGCCAUUAAAAUCAAUGUUUUGAAAUAUAUUUAACAAAAA